This 345-nucleotide ribosomal RNA is filed under the name uncultured Glomeromycotina. RNAcentral describes it as "partial large subunit ribosomal RNA". The record is from RNAcentral. Lineage: Eukaryota; Fungi; Glomeromycota.
UUGAAAGGGAAACGAUUGAAGUCAGUCUCUCCCCAAUCAACCCUCUCAUCAANACCCAUUUGUNCNGCCUCAAAACCCCACACAUUUCUCACAUNNNNACACUUUCUUUCCCUGUUAACAUCAAUUUCGAACGUCAUAAAAAGGCUGGAGGGAUGUGGCUCCUUCGGGAGUGUUAUAACCUUUAGCGGAAUGUGGUGUUCGGGAUUGAGGACUGCAACGAAUACCUUUAGGGCUGUUCCACCUGGCUUCUCUUUGGUAUCCUGGUGACGACAGCUUGCUGACGUCGUUAGGAUUCGCCUUUGAACAGGCUANAGUGUGAGCAAAUUCGUUAAGGAUGUUGACGUA